UACGUAGGGUGCAAGCGUUGUCCGGAAUUAUUGGGCGUAAAGAGCUCGUAGGCGGUCUGUCGCGUCUGCUGUGAAAACUCAGGGCUUAACCCUGAGCUUGCAGUGGGUACGGGCAGACUAGAGUGCGGUAGGGGAGACUGGAAUUCCUGGUGUAGCGGUGAAAUGCGUAGAUAUCUGGAGGAACACCGGUGGCGAAGGCGGCAUCCUGGACCGGUAUUGACGCUGAGGCGCGAAAGCUAGGGGAGCAAACGGG
This 253-nucleotide ribosomal RNA is filed under the name uncultured bacterium. RNAcentral's name for it is "partial 16S ribosomal RNA". It matches the Rfam family "Bacterial small subunit ribosomal RNA", at positions 524 to 776 of the family's 1533-position model. The record is from RNAcentral.